This is a long non-coding RNA of Amblyraja radiata (thorny skate), 92 nucleotides long. RefSeq lists it as uncharacterized. The record is from RefSeq and is a predicted model, not a curated record. The transcript has 3 exons. Lineage: Eukaryota; Metazoa; Chordata; Chondrichthyes; Rajiformes; Rajidae.
GUUAUAGUGGUCAGCAACUGGGUGAUCCAGAGGGCCUUGACAGACUGAGCACAAGUGUUUGGCGAAACAGUUGCCUAGUCUACACUUGGUCG